AACGAACGCUGGCGGCAGGCCUAACACAUGCAAGUCGAACGCUGUAGCAAUACAGAGUGGCAGACGGGUGAGUAACACGUGGGAAUCUUCCUAUCGGUACGGAAUAGCUCAGGGAAACUUGGGGUAAUACCGCAUACGCCCUUCGGGGGAAAGAUUUAUCGCCGAUAGAUGAGCCCGCGUCUGAUUAGCUAGUUGGUGAGGUAAUGGCUCACCAAGGCGACGAUCAGUAGCUGGUCUGAGAGGAUGACCAGCCUCACUGGGACUGAGACACGGCCCAGACUCCUACGGGAGGCAGCAGUGGGGAAUAUUGGACAAUGGGCGCAAGCCUGAUCCAGCCAUGCCGCGUGAGUGACGAAGGUCUUCGGAUUGUAAAGCACUUUUGGCAGGGAUUAAUAUUGUGAAAGUACCUGCAGAAUAAGGGGUUGCUAACUCUGUGCCAGCCGCCGCGGUAA
This 452-nucleotide ribosomal RNA is filed under the name uncultured bacterium. Its description in RNAcentral is "partial 16S ribosomal RNA". It matches the Rfam family "Bacterial small subunit ribosomal RNA", at positions 29 to 523 of the family's 1533-position model. The record is from RNAcentral.